GUGAGGAAUAUUGCGCAAUGGAGGCAACUCUGACGCAGCCAUGCCGCGUGCAGGAAGAAGGCGCUACGCGUUGUAAACUGCUUUUAACCGGGAAGAAACCCCAGGACGUGUCCUGGGUUGACGGUACGGGAGGAAUAAGCACCGGCUAACUUCGUGCCAGCAGCCGCGGUAAUACGAAGGGUGCAAGCGUUAUCCGGAUUCAUUGGGCUUAAAGGGUGCGUAGGCGGAGCGUUAAGUCAGUGGUGAAAUCCUGCAGAUUAACUGUAGACUUGCCAUUGAUACUGGCGCUCUUGAGUGCGCUUGAAGUGGGCGGAAUGUGCCGUGUAGCGGUGAAAUGCUUAGAUAUGGCACAGAACACCAAUUGCGAAGGCAGCUCACUAAGGCGAUACUGACGCUGAGGCACGAAAGCGUGGGGAUCGAACAGGAUUAGAUACCCGAGUAGUCC
RNAcentral lists this ribosomal RNA (445 nucleotides) under uncultured bacterium. RNAcentral describes it as "bacterial SSU rRNA". It matches the Rfam family "Bacterial small subunit ribosomal RNA", at positions 354 to 796 of the family's 1533-position model. The record is from RNAcentral.